RNAcentral lists this ribosomal RNA (722 nucleotides) under Salmonella enterica. RNAcentral's name for it is "partial 23S ribosomal RNA". It matches the Rfam family "Bacterial large subunit ribosomal RNA", at positions 594 to 1315 of the family's 2925-position model. The record is from RNAcentral. Lineage: Bacteria; Pseudomonadati; Pseudomonadota; Gammaproteobacteria; Enterobacterales; Enterobacteriaceae.
UGACUGCGUACCUUUUGUAUAAUGGGUCAGCGACUUAUAUUCUGUAGCAAGGUUAACCGAAUAGGGGAGCCGGAGGGAAACCGAGUCUUAACCGGGCGUUAAGUUGCAGGGUAUAGACCCGAAACCCGGUGAUCUAGCCAUGGGCAGGUUGAAGGUUGGGUAACACUAACUGGAGGACCGAACCGACUAAUGUUGAAAAAUUAGCGGAUGACCUGUGGCUGGGGGUGAAAGGCCAAUCAAACCGGGAGAUAGCUGGUUCUCCCCGAAAGCUAUUUAGGUAGCGCCUCGUGAAUUCAUCUCCGGGGGUAGAGCACUGUUUCGGCUAGGGGGCCAUCCCGGCUUACCAACCCGAUGCAAACUGCGAAUACCGGAGAAUGUUAUCACGGGAGACACACGGCGGGUGCUAACGUCCGUCGUGAAGAGGGAAACAACCCAGACCGCCAGCUAAGGUCCCAAAGUCAUGGUUAAGUGGGAAACGAUGUGGGAAGGCCCAGACAGCCAGGAUGUUGGCUUAGAAGCAGCCAUCAUUUAAAGAAAGCGUAAUAGCUCACUGGUCGAGUCGGCCUGCGCGGAAGAUGUAACGGGGCUAAACCAUGCACCGAAGCUGCGGCAGCGACACUCAGGUGUUGUUGGGUAGGGGAGCGUUCUGUAAGCCUGUGAAGGUGGCCUGUGAGGGUUGCUGGAGGUAUCAGAAGUGCGAAUGCUGACAUAAGUAACGAUAA